AACAAUAUAAUGGAUAGAAGAAAACGAAAUUCAAACACAAUUCACAUAGUUCAAGAACCAAAAAUCCUUUGGAAUGGAGAGAAAGAAAGAGAGAGAGAGAGAGAGAGAGAGAGAGAGAGAGAGAGAGAGAGAGAGAAAUGUCUUAGUAAGCAACGUGGAGUAGGAGAAGUCAGAAUCCUUAGGGUUUUUACCGAUUGAAACUAGCUUCUACAAUUUCUUUCAGGGUGCGGGAAUUCAUCUCCUGUAAAUCCUUUGUGUAUUGGUAUUUAUCCACUAUUUGCAGCUGAGGGAGAAGAGCUCUGUUGGAUCACCUAGGGAACACGAAUAGAAGGUGUUGUCUCUGGAUUAAACUGGGUCGUCGCCUCAUCGGGUGUGGGUAGUAGUCGCUUCGUCGGAUCUGGGUCAUCACUCAUCAGAGCUGCGUCUUCAUCGUCGAUUCUUCGUCGAGUAGAGAACUGGAUCGUCGUAGGUGGGAUCGUCAGAGGUGGGCUCGUCGAAUCUGGGUCUUCACUCGUCUGAGCUGGGUCUUUUCCUCGUCAAUACUUCGUCGAGUAGAGAACGGGAUCGUCGGAGGUACGGUCUAUGGACCUUCUCCGCUUGAAAGUUGAAGUUGGGGAGGAGAGGCUAGGUUGGAAAAAUUGGGUUGAAAACAAAUAUUGGGUUGAAAACAAAUAUUGGGUUGGGUUAGGAUUUUUGCGGGUUAAAACUAAAUGAGCCCAAUCCUGUUUGGAUUAAAAAAAAUUUAACUCGAACUGGCUCAUUUAUUUAUGAACUCG
This 776-nucleotide long non-coding RNA is filed under the name Linum usitatissimum (flax). RNAcentral describes it as "long non-coding RNA (LUSI_LNC006541)". The record is from RNAcentral. Lineage: Eukaryota; Viridiplantae; Streptophyta; Magnoliopsida; Malpighiales; Linaceae.